Molecule: ribosomal RNA, 253 nt
Filed under: uncultured bacterium
Lineage: Bacteria
Description: partial 16S ribosomal RNA
Rfam family: Bacterial small subunit ribosomal RNA
Source: RNAcentral
UACGGAGGGUGCGAGCGUUGUCCAGAAUCACUGGGCGUAAAGGGCGCGUAGGCGGCGCGGAAAGUCGUCGGUGAAAGCUCGGGGCUCAACCCUGAGUCUGCCGGUGAUACUCCCGCGCUCGAGCUCACUAGAGGCAGAUGGAAUUCCGGGUGUAGCGGUGGAAUGCGUAGAGAUCCGGAAGAACACCGGUGGCGAAGGCGGUCUGCUGGGGUGAGGCUGACGCUGAUGCGCGACAGCGUGGGGAGCAAACAGG